Molecule: long non-coding RNA, 400 nt
Organism: Medicago truncatula (barrel medic)
Lineage: Eukaryota; Viridiplantae; Streptophyta; Magnoliopsida; Fabales; Fabaceae
Exons: 2
Source: RefSeq, a predicted model, not a curated record
CUAAAAACUAAGAAAUGAUCAUACAAUUUUCUAUUUGUUACAUCCAAAGGAGAAGAAACAUGACUGCAAUUCUCAAGGUUGCUUAUAUUAUUAUGAUCAUAUGUCUUUUUCUGCUUCACGAUGCAGCCUCAGAUGAUUAUCUAAAAUAUAUUUAUCGAUGCCAGAAUGACGGAGAUUGUGAUCAGAUAUGUGCGACACAUGGUAUUUCAAAGUGCGUUGCGACUAUGUGUUUCUGCAAUUUGAAUUUAUAAAUGUAAUUUGGUUUCCUAUAAACUUAUAACAAGAUAUAGGGAGGAGAGUAAAAACGUCACUGGCAUGAAGAACUGCAGAUGAAUUGUAAUAAAUAAAAAUGUAAUCAUGUGAAUUAAAUAAGGAUAACAUCAUGAUUAUCACAUAAUUA